GACGAACGCUGGCGGCGUGCCUAAUACAUGCCAGUUGAGCGCUGAAGGUUGGUACUUGUACCAACUGGAUGAGCAGCGAACGGGUGAGUAACGCGUGGGGAAUCUGCCUUUGAGCGGGGGACAACAUUUGGAAACGAAUGCUAAUACCGCAUAAAAACUUUAAACACAAGUUUUAAGUUUGAAAGAUGCAAUUGCAUCACUCAAAGAUGAUCCCGCGUUGUAUUAGCUAGUUGGUGAGGUAAAGGCUCACCAAGGCGAUGAUACAUAGCCGACCUGAGAGGGUGAGCGGCCACAUUGGGACUGAGACACGGCCCAAACUCCUACGGGAGGCAGCAGUAGGGAAUCUUCGGCAAUGGACGAAAGUCUGACCGAGCAACGCCGCGUGAGUGAAGAAGGUUUUCGGAUCGUAAAACUCUGUUGGUAGAGAAGAACGUUGGUGAGAGUGGAAAGCUCAUCAAGUGACGGUAACUACCCAGAAAGGGACGGCUAACUACGUG
RNAcentral lists this ribosomal RNA (497 nucleotides) under uncultured bacterium. RNAcentral describes it as "partial 16S ribosomal RNA". It matches the Rfam family "Bacterial small subunit ribosomal RNA", at positions 28 to 507 of the family's 1533-position model. The record is from RNAcentral.